GUGGGGAAUAUUGGGCAAUGGGCGAAAGCCUGACCCAGCAACGCCGCGUGAAGGAAGAAGGUUUUCGGAUCGUAAACUUCUAUCCUUGGUGAAGAUAAUGACGGUAGCCAAGAAGGAAGCCCCGGCUAACUACGUGCCAGCAGCCGCGGUAAUACGUAGGGGGCAAGCGUUGUCCGGAAUGAUUGGGCGUAAAGGGCGCGUAGGCGGCCCGGUAAGUCUGAAGUGAAAGUCCUGCUUUUAAGGUGGGAAUUGCGUUGGUUACUGUCGGGCUUGAGGACAGGAGAGGUAAGUGGAAUUCCCGGUGUAGCGGUGAAAUGCGGAGAGAUCGGGAGGAACACCAGUGGCGAAGGCGACUUACUGGACUGUAACUGACGCUGAGGCUCGAAAGCCAGGGGAGCGAACGGGAUUAGAAACCCGAGUAGUCC
This 425-nucleotide ribosomal RNA is filed under the name uncultured bacterium. RNAcentral describes it as "partial 16S ribosomal RNA". It matches the Rfam family "Bacterial small subunit ribosomal RNA", at positions 354 to 796 of the family's 1533-position model. The record is from RNAcentral.